RNAcentral lists this ribosomal RNA (444 nucleotides) under uncultured bacterium. RNAcentral's name for it is "bacterial SSU rRNA". It matches the Rfam family "Bacterial small subunit ribosomal RNA", at positions 355 to 796 of the family's 1533-position model. The record is from RNAcentral.
UGGGGAAUAUUGGUCAAUGGGCGAAAGCCUGAACCAGCAAUGCCGCGUGGGUGAUGAAGGCCUUCGGGUUGUAAAGCCCUGUCAGUGGGAAAGAAAAAGCCGGUUAACAGCCGGACUUGACGGUACCCACAAAGGAAGCACCGGCUAACUCUGUGCCAGCAGCCGCGGUAAUACAGAGGGUGCAAGCGUUGUUCGGAAUUACUGGGCGUAAAGCGCGUGUAGGCGGCUUAUUAAGUCGGACGUGAAAUCCCUUGGCUCAACCAAGGAACUGCGUCCGAUACUGUUAAGCUUGAGUGUCGGAGGGGGUGGCGGAAUUCCCGGUGUAGAGGUGAAAUUCGUAGAUAUCAGGAGGAACACCUGUGGCGAAGGCGGCCACCUGGAAGACAACUGACGCUGAGACGCGAAAGCGUGGGGAGCAAACAGGAUUAGAUACCCCCGUAGUCC